AUGGAUCCUCAGGAUUGCGGCUGCGCCACCGGUGGCCGCUGCUCAUGUGAUGGAUCCUGCAAAUGCAAAAAUUGCAAAUGUACUUCAUGCAAAAAAAGUGAGCUGCUGUUCCUGCUGCCCCGCGAGCUGCAGCAACUGUGCCAAAGGCUGUGUCUGCAAAGACCCCUCUUUGAACAAAUGCAGCUGUUGC
Python bivittatus (Burmese python) is the source of this 190-nucleotide non-coding RNA. The record is from RefSeq and is a predicted model, not a curated record. NCBI's taxonomy places the organism in Eukaryota, Metazoa, Chordata, Lepidosauria, Squamata, Pythonidae.